Molecule: ribosomal RNA, 387 nt
Filed under: uncultured bacterium
Lineage: Bacteria
Description: bacterial SSU rRNA
Rfam family: Bacterial small subunit ribosomal RNA
Source: RNAcentral
GACGAACGCUGGCGGCGUGCUUAACACAUGCAAGUCGAGCGGUAAGGCCCUUUCGGGGGUACGACGAGCGGCGAACGGGUAGAGUAACACGUGGGUGACCUCGCCCUCCAGCUCUGGGAGUAAGCCUGGGAAACCGGGUCUAAUACUGGAUAUGACUCCAUGACGCAUGUUGUGGGGUGGAAAGCCUUGUGCGGCUGAGGAUGGGCCCGCGGCCUAUCAGCUUGUUGGUGGGGUGAGGCCUACCAAGGCGACGACGGGUAGCCGGCCUGAGAGGGCGACCGGCCACACUGGGACUGAGACACGGCCCAGACUCCUACGGGAGGCAGCAGUGGGGAAUCUUGCGCAAUGGGCGAAAGCCUGACGCAGCGACGCCGCGUGAGGGAUGAC